AUGGCGCCGGGACGCACCUCGACCCCGUCGUCGACCCAGCCGCUGCCGGCGAGCAACAGCAACCAGCAGACCAUCCCGAGCAGCAAAAGGAGAACGAGCUCCCAUGGCCGCCGCCGAGCCGCCCGAGCACCUCCUCCUCCUCCCGUCGCCGGCGACCGCGUCACCAGGACCCCGCGCCUGCAGACUCGCGCACAAGCUCCUCUGCUUCCUCACGCGCCACGACAAGAAGCAGCACCACCGGGGCCCUUGCAUCAUCGAGCACCACCAGGACCAGCCCCGGUGCCACUCCGGCCGCCCGAGCACCUCGUGCUUCUCCUCGUCGCGCCUCCUCCCCUGCGCCUCGACUUUGUUGGAGACCAGCUCCCUUCCUCCUUUUUCCUUCCUUCUUUUCCUUCUCUCUACGCGCUCAAGCUCUCUCAUGUUUUCUCUUCUUCACAGGGAACCGCGCCUCCAUGA
This 456-nucleotide ribosomal RNA is filed under the name Triticum aestivum (bread wheat). Its description in RNAcentral is "partial small subunit ribosomal RNA". Lineage: Eukaryota; Viridiplantae; Streptophyta; Magnoliopsida; Poales; Poaceae. The record is from RNAcentral.